UAAAAUUUGAGGUUUUAGGAUUUAUAUUUUUAAAAUUAAGAUUUUAGGAAUUAAAGUUUGAAUUUUUAAUUUUAGAAUUUGUACACUUACAUAGCAAUGACGUGGCAGUGCUGGUGUGUGGAUGCCAUAACGCUGACAUGGCAAGAUACAGGGCUGGAUCUGGUGGAAUGAGGACACGUUAAGGAUCUGUGAGCUCAGCUGCAAAACUUUGACGGAUCUUGACCCAUCUCCGCCGAAUCUUACAGAAGCGACUUCGGAUGGAAGUUCCGACGACGAGAAUGUGUCAGUCGGCGUUCUGCGUAUCUCGGGGACGUGAAGAUAGCGGAAUCUGUUGAAUUUCUUUCCAUGUUGUGAUCCGGGUUGUGAUUUGACCUGAAUGGAUCUUGGCUUCUAGGCCACUCCAGGCGACUGGACUUGUACCGAUGCAGUCGCUUGGAGGUCUUCUGUGGAUUGGCGGUCUCUUGUUUCACAAUUUUUUUUAAACAUAGAUGUUACACAGGUGGAGGGCGCAUAUUUUGAAAACCAAUUUGGCGAUCUCUGCACAUAUUGAAGGGAAAACCAAUCUGACGAAUGUCUUUGAUGAAUGUAUGCAGUUCAUCCGAUUGUUUUAGAGCUUGGCAAACAUUCUUAUAUGAUUUCAGCAGUAAUCUGCGCUGCCAUCUACUUCACCAUAGGCAUUAUCGGGUACCUUUUGUUUGGAGAAUCAAUAGUGGUUGAUAUAUUAGUAAAUUUCGAUAGAACUUCUGAUACAGCAAGUGGUGCAUUACUGAAUGACAUAGUUAGAUUAAGCUAUGCAUUCCACCUUAUGCUGGUGUUUCCUCUCUUGAACUUCUCCUUAGGGGCAAACAUCGGCCAAUUUCGUUUCCCCAAGAAGUCUUUGCUGGCAAGAGACACAACCAGAUUUGUGUCCCUCACUCUAAUCUUAUUAAUCUUCACUUACCUGUUAGCAAUAGCCAUUCCAAAUGUAUGGUACAUCGACCAAUAACCUCUGCAGUGUGUCUUGCCUUUAUUUUUCCAGGGAUACUCACAGAAUAUCUACAACUAAGGAUGGGAUCAUAGUUGUCCUUUUCUUCGCUUCUUUGUUGCCCAAAUGUUUUUGUAGUUGAGGUGCCUGUAUUUUUGUGUAUCUUAGAAUUCAGCAGCCAAAAUUAAGCAGGGUCUCUGAAAAUUUAGUAUGCAAACAUGCAAGUUGAGCAGUUCAUUGUUGCUAUCUACUGCAACGAAGUUCUGGAUAUAAUUUUUCAUAAUAUCCUACAAUGAGGCUACGAGGAGGAGCCCUCUUAUCAAAUUGAGUGAGACUCUUGGUGUCAGCAAUCAUCUCAGUUGCUCUACCCUAUCUUUGAUAAAAAAUGAUAAUUCAGCUACCAAUUGUAUCAGUACAUCACAAUAUUUGCAGAACCCAUCUUUGUGCUUGUCUAUUUCGUUUCAUUUUAUUUCUUGAAAUGACAUAAACAGAGUGUUUGUUUCAAUCUCAUUUCAUUUUUUCCAGUCUCAAUGUUAUGUAAAACUAUCACAAUCAUGGGUUAUGGAACUGUGAAACAAAGUUCAGUCACAA
This is an RNA transcript of Hevea brasiliensis (rubber tree), 1555 nucleotides long. RefSeq lists it as uncharacterized. The record is from RefSeq and is a predicted model, not a curated record. Lineage: Eukaryota; Viridiplantae; Streptophyta; Magnoliopsida; Malpighiales; Euphorbiaceae. The transcript has 2 exons.